RNAcentral lists this ribosomal RNA (274 nucleotides) under uncultured bacterium. RNAcentral describes it as "partial 16S ribosomal RNA". It matches the Rfam family "Bacterial small subunit ribosomal RNA", at positions 523 to 796 of the family's 1533-position model. The record is from RNAcentral.
ACACGGGGGGCGCAAGCGUUAUUCGGAAUUAUUGGGCGUAAAGGGCGUGUAGGCGGUCUUAUCGGUCAGAUGUGAAAGCCCAGGGCUCAACCCUGGACGUGCAUUUGAAACAGUAAGACUUGAGUACUGGAGAGGAAAGCGGAAUUCCUGGUGUAGAGGUGAAAUUCGUAGAUAUCAGGAGGAACACCGAUGGCGAAGGCAGCUUUCUGGACAGAAACUGACGCUGAUGCGCGAAGGCGUGGGUAGCGAACAGGAUUAGAAACCCCAGUAGUCC